Molecule: ribosomal RNA, 318 nt
Filed under: uncultured Bartonella sp.
Lineage: Bacteria; Pseudomonadati; Pseudomonadota; Alphaproteobacteria; Hyphomicrobiales; Bartonellaceae
Description: bacterial SSU rRNA
Rfam family: Bacterial small subunit ribosomal RNA
Source: RNAcentral
GUGCCAGCCGCUGCGGUAAUACGAAGGGGGCUAGCGUUGUUCGGAUUUACUGGGCGUAAAGCGCACGUAGGCGGACUUUAAGUCAGGGGUGAAUCCCGGGGCUCAACCCCGGAACUGCCUUUGAUACUGGGAGUCUUGAGUAUGGAAGAGGUGAGUGGAAUUCCGAGUGUAGAGGUGAAAUUCGUAGAUAUUCGGAGGAACACCAGUGGCGAAGGCGGCUCACUGGUCCAUUACUGACGCUGAGGUGCGAAAGUGUGGGGAGCAAACAGGAUUAGAUACCCUGGUAGUCCACGCCGUAAACGAUGAAUGUUAGCCGUC